Molecule: ribosomal RNA, 468 nt
Filed under: uncultured bacterium
Lineage: Bacteria
Description: partial 16S ribosomal RNA
Rfam family: Bacterial small subunit ribosomal RNA
Source: RNAcentral
GACGAACGCUGGCGGCGUGCUUAACACAUGCAAGUCGAACGGAAAGGCCCUGCUUUUGUGGGGUGCUCGAGUGGCGAACGGGUGAGUAACACGUGAGUAACCUGCCCUUGACUUUGGGAUAACUUCAGGAAACUGGGGCUAAUACCGGAUAGGAGCCCCUGCUGCAUGGUGGGGGUUGGAAAGUUUCGGCGGUUGGGGAUGGACUCGCGGCUUAUCAGCUUGUUGGUGGGGUAGUGGCUUACCAAGGCUUUGACGGGUAGCCGGCCUGAGAGGGUGACCGGCCACAUUGGGACUGAGAUACGGCCCAGACUCCUACGGGAGGCAGCAGUGGGGAAUAUUGCACAAUGGGCGGAAGCCUGAUGCAGCAACGCCGCGUGCGGGAUGACGGCCGUCGGGUUGUAAACCGCUUUCGCCUGUGACGAAGCGUGAGUGACGGUAAUGGGUAAAGAAGCACCGGCUAACUACGUG